Alligator sinensis (Chinese alligator) is the source of this 243-nucleotide long non-coding RNA. RefSeq lists it as uncharacterized. The transcript is spliced from 3 exons. NCBI's taxonomy places the organism in Eukaryota, Metazoa, Chordata, Crocodylia, Alligatoridae. The record is from RefSeq and is a predicted model, not a curated record.
GUGGCAUGCUCGCUACAGAGUGUAUGCUGCAGCAAACUGGAGGAGUACCUGUAUGGAAGACAGCCUAGAGACACCCUGAGGAGUCAGUUUUAGGGGGGAGACCAGCAGGGCUGGAGGCCGCAUUUGGCUGCCAGACUUCAUGGAAGUAACAUCUCCUGGAGAAGUGGCUGCUCCGAGUACAACUACAAGGUGUUCACAAAACAAACCUUGUCACACUCAUUCCCACACCAUGCCCUUUCCCUA